UUCGCCCUUAGAGUUUGAUCCUGGCUCAGGACGAACGCUGGCGGCGUGCUUAACACAUGCAAGUCGAGCGAGUGGAGUUCUUCGGAACAAAGCUAGCGGCGGACGGGUGAGUAACACGUGGGCAACCUGCCUCAUAGAGGGGAAUAGCCUCCCGAAAGGGAGAUUAAUACCGCAUAAGAUUGUAGCUUCGCAUGAAGUAGCAAUUAAAGGAGCAAUCCGCUAUGAGAUGGGCCCGCGGCGCAUUAGCUAGUUGGUGAGGUAACGGCUCACCAAGGCGACGAUGCGUAGCCGACCUGAGAGGGUGAUCGGCCACAUUGGGACUGAGACACGGCCCAGACUCCUACGGGAGGCAGCAGUGGGGAAUAUUGCACAAUGGGGGAAACCCUGAUGCAGCAACGCCGCGUGAGUGAUGACGGCCUUCGGGUUGUAAAGCUCUGUCUUCAGGGACGAUAAUGACGGUACCUGAGGAGGAAGCCACGGCUAACUACGUGCCAGCAGCCGCGGUAAUACGUAGGUGGCGAGCGUUGUCCGGAUUUACUGGGCGUAAAGGGAGCGUAGGCGGACUUUUAAGUGAGAUGUGAAAUACCCGGGCUCAACUUGGGUGCUGCAUUUCAAACUGGAAGUCUAGAGUGCAGGAGAGGAGAAUGGAAUUCCUAGUGUAGCGGUGAAAUGCGUAGAGAUUAGGAAGAACACCAGUGGCGAAGGCGAUUCUCUGGACUGUAACUGACGCUGAGGCUCGAAAGCGUGGGGAGCAAACCAGGAUUAGAUACCCUGGUAGUCCACGCCGUUAAACGAUGAAUACUAGGGUGUAGGGGUUGUCAUGACCUCUGUGCCGCCGCUAACGCAUUAAGUAUUCCGCCUGGGGAGUACGGUCGCAAGAUUAAAACUCAAAGGAAUUGACGGGGGCCCGCACAAGCAGCGGAGCAUGUGGUUUAAUUCGAAGCAACGCGAAGAACCUUACCUAGACUUGACAUCUCCUGCAUUACCCUUAAUCGGGGAAGUUCCUUCGGGAACAGGAAGACAGGUGGUGCAUGGUUGUCGUCAGCUCGUGUCGUGAGAUGUUGGGUUAAGUCCCGCAACGAGCGCAACCCUUAUUGUUAGUUGCUACCAUUUAGUUGAGCACUCUAGCGAGACUGCCCGGGUUAACCGGGAGGAAGGUGGGGAUGACGUCAAAUCAUCAUGCCCCUUAUGUCUAGGGCUACACACGUGCUACAAUGGCAAGUACAAAGAGAAGCAAGACCGCGAGGUGGAGCAAAACUCAAAAACUUGUCUCAGUUCGGAUUGUAGGCUGAAACUCGCCUACAUGAAGCUGGAGUUGCUAGUAAUCGCGAAUCAGCAUGUCGCGGUGAAUACGUUCCCGGGCCUUGCACACACCGCCCGUCA
This 1383-nucleotide ribosomal RNA is filed under the name uncultured bacterium. RNAcentral's name for it is "16S ribosomal RNA". It matches the Rfam family "Bacterial small subunit ribosomal RNA". The record is from RNAcentral.